GGAUCUUCGGACCUCACGCUAUCAGAUGAGCCUAGGUCGGAUUAGCUAGUUGGUGGGGUAAAGGCCUACCAAGGCGACGAUCCGUAACUGGUCUGAGAGGAUGAUCAGUCACACUGGAACUGAGACACGGUCCAGACUCCUACGGGAGGCAGCAGUGGGGAAUAUUGGACAAUGGGCGAAAGCCUGAUCCAGCCAUGCCGCGUGUGUGAAGAAGGUCUUCGGAUUGUAAAGCACUUUAAGUUGGGAGGAAGGGCAGUAAGUUAAUACCUUGCUGUUUUGACGUUACCAACAGAAUAAGCACCGGCUAACUUCGUGCCAGCAGCCGCGGUAAUACGAAGGGUGCAAGCGUUAAUCGGAAUUACUGGGCGUAAAGCGCGCGUAGGUGGUUCAGCAAGUUGGAUGUGAAAUCCCCGGGCUCAACCUGGGAACUGCAUCCAAAACUACUGAGCUAGAGUACGGUAGAGGGUGGUGGAAUUUCCUGUGUAGCGGUGAAAUGCGUAGAUAUAGGAAGGAACACCAGU
This 521-nucleotide ribosomal RNA is filed under the name Pseudomonas aeruginosa. RNAcentral describes it as "bacterial SSU rRNA". It matches the Rfam family "Bacterial small subunit ribosomal RNA", at positions 208 to 713 of the family's 1533-position model. The record is from RNAcentral. Lineage: Bacteria; Pseudomonadati; Pseudomonadota; Gammaproteobacteria; Pseudomonadales; Pseudomonadaceae.